RNAcentral lists this unclassified non-coding RNA (745 nucleotides) under Hevea brasiliensis (rubber tree). The record is from RNAcentral. Lineage: Eukaryota; Viridiplantae; Streptophyta; Magnoliopsida; Malpighiales; Euphorbiaceae.
GGAAAGUGGAAAUAGGGAUGGCAGUGAUGAAAAAAAGGAUGAUUGGAGGGGAGAUGAACAUGGAGAUGGUGGUGGAAGGAUGGAGAGGAAGGGAAAAGAUGGGAAUAAGGAGAAUGAUGAUGAAAGGGAUGAUAGGAAGGAUAGAAGGAGGAAAAAUUAUGAUGAUGACAAGAGGGAGAGCAGAAAAGAGGAAACACAAGUUGAUGAAAGGGGGGAUAGGAGGGAAAGAAGGCGGAGAAUUGAACGCAGUGAGAGUGAUGACGAUGGUGAGGAUAAAGAUAGGGAUGAUAGGAGAACAAGAAGGCGAAGAGCUGAACGUGGAAAUAGGGAUAGUAGUGAUGAUGAAAAGGAUGAUUUGAGGCGUAAGAGGGAUGGUGGUGAAAGGAUGGAUAUGAGGCGAAAAGAUGAGAAUAAGGACGACAAUGAUAGGAGGGAUAGAAGGAGAAAACACGAACAGGUGAAUGAUGAUGAUAAGAGGGAGAGCAGAAAACAGGAAACCCAAGUUGAUGAUGAUGGUGAUGAUGAUGAAAGAGAUGACAGGAGAAAGAAGAGGCGAAGACAUGAGGGUGAAGGUGGUGACUUGAAGGAUGAUAAGAAGGAGAAGAGUCGAAGGAAUGAAGGUGAAAGCAAUGGUAGGAAGGAGAGGAGGCGACGGGAAGAUGAUGAUGAAAAAGUGCAUAAGAGAAGGAAGGAUGAGCACGGACUCAGGGAUAGAGUUGAUCGGUAUAAUGAUGGUAGAGAAGGG